Molecule: ribosomal RNA, 508 nt
Filed under: uncultured prokaryote
Description: bacterial SSU rRNA
Rfam family: Archaeal small subunit ribosomal RNA
Source: RNAcentral
GAACUGCGAUAAGGGGACACCGAGUGCCAGCAUCCUAUGUUGGCUGUCCGCAUGUUUAAAUCACAUGUGUUAGCAAGGGCCGGGCAAGACCGGUGCCAGCCGCCGCGGUAACACCGGCGGCCCGAGUGGUGGCCACUAUUAUUGGGUCUAAAGGGUCCGUAGCCGGUUUGGUCAGUCUUCCGGGAAAUCUGACGGCUUAACCGUUAGGCUUUCGGGGGAUACUGCCAGGCUUGGGACCGGGAGAGGUAAGAGGUACUACGGGGGUAGGAGUGAAAUCUUGUAAUCCCCGUGGGACCACCAGUGGCGAAGGCGUCUUACCAGAACGGGUCCGACGGUGAGGGACGAAAGCUGGGGGCACGAACCGGAUUAGAUACCCGGGUAGUCCCAGCUGUAAACUAUGCUCGCUAGGUGUCAGGGACGGUGCGACCGUUUCUGGUGCCGCAGGGAAGCCGUGAAGCGAGCCACCUGGGAAGUACGGUCGCAAGGCUGAAACUUAAAGGAAUUGGCG